GAGUUUGAUCAUGGCUCAGGAUGAACGCUGGCGGCGUGCCUAACACAUGCAAGUCGAGCGAAGCACAAGAAUACGAUUCUUCGGAUGAAGAUUCCUGUGACUGAGCGGCGGACGGGUGAGUAACGCGUGGGUAACCUGCCUUACACAGGGGGAUAACAGUUAGAAAUGACUGCUAAUACCGCGUAAGACCACAGUACUGCAUGGUACAGUGGUAAAAACUGAGGUGGUGUAAGAUGGACCCGCGUCUGAUUAGGUAGUUGGUGGGGUAACGGCCUACCAAGCCGACGAUCAGUAGCCGGCCUGAGAGGGUGGACGGCCACAUUGGGACUGAGACACGGCCCAGACUCCUACGGGAGGCAGCA
RNAcentral lists this ribosomal RNA (362 nucleotides) under uncultured Dorea sp. RNAcentral describes it as "bacterial SSU rRNA". It matches the Rfam family "Bacterial small subunit ribosomal RNA", at positions 9 to 353 of the family's 1533-position model. The record is from RNAcentral. Lineage: Bacteria; Bacillati; Bacillota; Clostridia; Lachnospirales; Lachnospiraceae.